CAGCCCGUCGGCCACCAUCCGCAGGCGGAGCCGGACGUGACGUAGCCGCGCUUCCUGUGGCGGCCAGCGCGCGCGCGCGCGCGGCGGCUACGGCGGCGGCGGCGGAGGUGAGUCGGCGCUGGGCUCGUUCGUGCGGCUUCUGCCCCUGCCCCUCCCUCUGCCCCUGCCCCUGCCCCUGCCCCUCCCUCUGCCCCUGCCCCUCAGGCCGCACUCUCCGCCCGCCUGCACCGGCAGGAUGCGGCCGCCUCCCCCGGGCCCCGGAACGGCCCUGCAGCUGGGCCAGCGGACGGGGAAGUUGGCGGUCCCCUGUGACCCGCCUCCGCCGGCCGCACGGCGGGGGCUUCCCGAACUCUGCCCGGCGGCCCUGCCUUGUCCUGCGGGCUCAGCCUCUCCCGGCUCCUCCACCGUCCACCACAGGUCACGGGGCCAGGAGGUCCCAGGCGGUGCUGCCACCCGAGCCCACAGCCGCGCCGGGGGACGAAAGUCGGAGGACGACCUCACCUCGUCGGCGGCGUGGAGCCUGCACUCUCUCGGCGCCGCUGUUUCUUCCUUUUUUGGCGCUGGGGCCUGAACCCACGAGCGCUUUACCACCUCCAUCCCCAACCCCUUUGAUUUUGAGCCAGGGCUUGAGCUUACGGUCCUCGUGCCUCAACCUCCUGAGUCUCUGGGAUUGCAGAGGAUUGAACCCAGUGCCUCACACUAUUGUGUAUGCAUUAGCCAAGGGGAGCAGCACAGCCACUUCCUGCUGGYCUAGGGCUAAGUGUGCACAUAGUCUCCCAGGAGAGAAGAGCCCACAGGGCCAUUCGCACAACCUGCCUGGUGCACUGCCCGAGUGGUAGAGUGUGCUAAAAGCCCAACUUGUGAAAGAGCAGCACUUUGGGUUGUCAGAAGGGUGUAGCACUGGUGAAAGCAGUGAGGCCAACUAGCAUGCCACAGCUCCCUGAGGAAAAGGAGGCAAGUAGAACUGCCUGCACAGGUGGGAGGGGAGGGGGAGGGCAUCAUGGUGUCGGGGGGCCUGGGCUGGGCCAGGUGAUCUGUUUUGUCAAAGCAUGAAGUUGGUCAAAUUUGAUCUUCUAAUUUUUUCAUAGAGGUUAAUUUUAUGA
RNAcentral lists this long non-coding RNA (1103 nucleotides) under Urocitellus parryii (Arctic ground squirrel). RNAcentral's name for it is "lncRNA (ENSUPAG00010018368.1)". Lineage: Eukaryota; Metazoa; Chordata; Mammalia; Rodentia; Sciuridae. The record is from RNAcentral.